GAUGAACGCUAGCAACAGGCUUAACACAUGCAAGUCGAGGGGCAGCAUAGAAGUAGCAAUACUUUGGUGGCGACCGGCGCACGGGUGAGUAACGCGUAUGCAACCUACCUAUCAGAGGGGGAUAACCCGGCGAAAGUCGGACUAAUACCGCAUAAAACAGGGGCACCGCAUGGUGAUAUUUGUUAAAGAUUAAUUGCUGAUAGAUGGGCAUGCGUUCCAUUAGGUAGUUGGUGAGGUAAUGGCUCACCAAGCCGACGAUGGAUAGGGGAACUGAGAGGUUGGUCCCCCACACUGGUACUGAGACACGGACCAGACUCCUACGGGAGGCAGCAGUGAGGAAUAUUGGUCAAUGGGCGAGAGCCUGAACCAGCCAAGUCGCGUGAAGGAAGAAGGAUCUAUGGUUCGUAAACUUCUUCUGCAGGGGAAUAAAGUGGAGGACGUGUCCUCUUUUGUAUGUACCCUGAGAAUAAGGAUCGGCUAACUCCGUGCCAGCAGCCGCAGUAA
Molecule: ribosomal RNA, 504 nt
Filed under: uncultured bacterium
Lineage: Bacteria
Description: partial 16S ribosomal RNA
Rfam family: Bacterial small subunit ribosomal RNA
Source: RNAcentral